Molecule: signal recognition particle RNA, 310 nt
Filed under: Solanum tuberosum (potato)
Lineage: Eukaryota; Viridiplantae; Streptophyta; Magnoliopsida; Solanales; Solanaceae
Description: SRP RNA Plant_SRP
Rfam family: Plant signal recognition particle RNA
Source: Rfam by way of RNAcentral
GCCGAGUCUUGUAACGUGGGCUUGUAACCUAAGUUGGGGCAACAAUGUGGUGGAAUGUUAAUUAGGUUGUUCCAGAUGGCUGGGCUUUGGUUGGUAUUAGUCUGGCCUGCCCUAUCCAAGCACGGAGUUGAGUCACAUGGUCCAGACGAAAGUAUGGACUGCUUGGCUCUUAGAGUGGGGCGGACUGCGUGAGGCUGGUUUCACAGAGCAACGAAUAGUUCCCUCUGUGUAGUGGAAGGAUAACGGGUGGGUCGGUGCCUUUCCAAGUCCAACAAAACCUGAUGGGCUGCUUAACAAAACCAUCUCUUUU